CCUACGGGUGGCAGCAGUGAGGAAUAUUGGUCAAUGGGCGUAAGCCUGAACCAGCCAAGUCGCGUGAGGGAUGAAGGUUCUAUGGAUCGUAAACCUCUUUUAUAAGGGAAUAAAGUGCGGGACGUGUCCCGUUUUGUAUGUACCUUAUGAAUACGGAUCGGCUAACUCCGUGCCAGCAGCCGCGGUACUACGGAGGAUCCGAGCGUUAUCCGGCUUUAUUGGGUUUAAAGGGUGCGUAGGCGGCCUUUUAAGUCAGCGGUGAAAUCAUGUGGCUCAACCAUUGAAUUGCCGUUGAAACUGGGAGGCUUGAGUAUGUUAGAGGCAGGCGGAAUGCGUGGUGUAGCGGUGAAAUGCUUAGAGAUCAGGCAGAACCCCGAUGGCGAAGGCAGCCUGCCAAGCCAUAACUGACGCUGAUGCACGAAAGCGUGGGGAUCAAACAGGAUUAGAUACCCGAGUAGUC
This 460-nucleotide ribosomal RNA is filed under the name uncultured bacterium. RNAcentral describes it as "partial 16S ribosomal RNA". It matches the Rfam family "Bacterial small subunit ribosomal RNA", at positions 338 to 795 of the family's 1533-position model. The record is from RNAcentral.